ACUCAAAUGAAUAGACGGGGACCCACACAAGCGGUGGAGCAUGGGGUUUAAUUCGAUGACAAGCGAAGCACCUCACCCAGGCUUGACAUCUAUGAAAUCCUGAAGAAAUUCGGGAGUGCCGCAAGGAAUCAUAAGACAGGCGCUGCACGGUCGUCGUCAGCUCGUGCCUUGAGGUGUACUGUUAAGUCAGCCAACGAGCGCAACCCUCAUCUCAUGUUGUUAUUUCAUGAGAGACUGCCGCCUCCAAGGCGGAGGAAGGUGAGGAUGACGUCAGAUCAGCGUGGCCCUUAUGCCUGGGGCAACACCCGUGCUACAAUGGCCGGUACAAACAGAAGCCAACUCGCGAGAGUGAGCAAAUCUGAGAAAACCGGUCUCAGUUCGGAUUGAAGUCUGCAACUCGACUUCAUGAAGUUGGAAUCGCUAGUAACCGUGAAUCAGCUACGUCACGGUGAAUAUGUUCCUGGGUCUUGUACACACCGCCCGU
This 484-nucleotide ribosomal RNA is filed under the name uncultured bacterium. RNAcentral describes it as "partial 16S ribosomal RNA". It matches the Rfam family "Bacterial small subunit ribosomal RNA", at positions 899 to 1397 of the family's 1533-position model. The record is from RNAcentral.